Molecule: unclassified non-coding RNA, 211 nt
Filed under: soil metagenome
Description: partial contains 5.8S ribosomal RNA, internal transcribed spacer 2, and large subunit ribosomal RNA
Source: RNAcentral
AACGAGGCCGACCUGCGGCUGAGUUACCUGCGGAGGGAUCAUUACCGAGUUUACAACUCCCAAACCCCUGUGAACAUACCUAUACGUUGCCUCGGCGGAUCAGCCCGCGCCCUGUAAAAAGGGACGGCCCGCCCGAGGACCCUAAACUCUGUUUUUAGUGGAACUUCUGAGUAAAACAAACAAAUAAAUCAAAACUUUCAGCAAUGGAUCU